RNAcentral lists this unclassified non-coding RNA (379 nucleotides) under uncultured Rickettsiales bacterium. RNAcentral describes it as "contains 16S-23S intergenic spacer region". Lineage: Bacteria; Pseudomonadati; Pseudomonadota; Alphaproteobacteria; Rickettsiales. The record is from RNAcentral.
UCCGGCUUAUCACCGGCAGUUUUCUCAGAGUGCUCAGCUUAACCUGGUAGCAACAGAGAAUGAGGGUUGCGCUCGUUGCGGGACUUAACCCAACAUCUCACGACACGAGCUGACGACAGCCAUGCAGCACCUGUGCUCCUCCCAACUAAAUGAAGGAUUCCUUUUCGGGAAUCCAAAGAGGGCAAGUCGAGCCCUGGUAAGGUUCUUCGCGUUGCCUCGAAUUAAACCACAUGUUCCACCGCUUGUGCGGGUCCCCGUCAAUUUCUUUGAGUUUUAAUCUUGCGACCGUACUCCCCAGGCGGGAUGCUUAACGCGUUAGCUACGCUACUGAGAGGUAACCCCCCAACAGCUAGCAUCCAUCGUUUACAGCGUGGACUAC